Long non-coding RNA from Pseudomyrmex gracilis, 984 nucleotides. RefSeq lists it as uncharacterized. The transcript is spliced from 3 exons. NCBI's taxonomy places the organism in Eukaryota, Metazoa, Arthropoda, Insecta, Hymenoptera, Formicidae. The record is from RefSeq and is a predicted model, not a curated record.
UACUUCCUUUCAACUUUUAGAUACUUAGAAAUUACUCAGAAAAUUAUUUGUAUAUUGUGAACAAAAAAUCACAUAAUGAGUGUGAGCAGUGUUUAUGAUUAUUUUAUGAUUGACUCAGCAGAUCCGGUCACGCGUAAUUGGGCGUUAGUAGAAACGCCUUUGAUGCUACUAAGUCUAACCUCUGCGUAUUUGUAUUUUAUACUUUACGCCGGACCAAGUUACAUGAAGUAUCGACAGCCAUUUAGCUUAAGAACCUUUAUAUUAUUUUAUCUAAAAGUUCUCAAAUUAAAUGGUUGUAGUAUUUCAAAUUCUUGCUAAUGCAUGGCUGGUACACAGUUAUAUAUCUGCCAGCUGGUUUACUAAAUAUAGCAUAAAAUGUAAUAAUAAUAGUGAUUUGACGAGUAUAAAUGGUUUUAAGGUAAUAACUAUUUCAUGGUGGAUAUUACUAUUAAAACUAAUUGAUUAUAUCGAAACGUGUAUAUUUGUUUUAUGGAAAAAACAGGACCAAAUUUCUACUUUGCAUGUAGGUAUAUUAUCAUGCAAAGUAGAAACUUGAUUCUGUUUUUUGCAUGUAUAUCAUCAUGUGUUUAAUGUCUUUAUUGGAUGGUAUUUUCUCAAAUAUAUAGUGGAUCCCAGAACAACAUUUGCGUGUUUACUUAAUUGUUUUAUCCAUGGUAUCAUAUUAUCGUAUUACUUCAUUGCAGCAUGCAGCACAACCUCAUGCAACAAAAAGUAUCUAUUUUAAAAUUUUAUAUUACGAAAUUACAAAUGGUAAGUUCUACAUUAUAUACAAGUAAGGUAUGUAUAUACUACGCACAUGUAUCAUAUAAAACGAAAGUUUUCACAUUACAUUUUACAAUUGAACUUCAUACACCAUAAUAUUGUUACUACCUGUUCACUUAAUUAGACGAAUUUGUAAUUUAAUUAAUUUUAACUUCCUAUGAUAAAUUUAUACACAACAACAAUAUAUUUUGAAAUUAUAAC